RNAcentral lists this ribosomal RNA (377 nucleotides) under uncultured Candidatus Brocadia sp. RNAcentral's name for it is "bacterial SSU rRNA". It matches the Rfam family "Bacterial small subunit ribosomal RNA", at positions 46 to 382 of the family's 1533-position model. Lineage: Bacteria; Pseudomonadati; Planctomycetota; Candidatus Brocadiia; Candidatus Brocadiales; Candidatus Brocadiaceae. The record is from RNAcentral.
GGAUUAGGCAUGCAAGUCGAACGAGGGAGUAUUCCGAAAGGGGUACAAAUCGAGUGGCGUAAGGGUGAGUAAUGCAUUGAUAACCUACCUUUGAGAUGGGAACAACAGCGUUCCAAGCAAUUGGAGCUACCGAAAGGGCUGCUAAUACCCAAUAAAACUACUAUUGCUUUGGUGGUGGUAGUCAAACGUGCGGGAUCGAAAGGUUCCAUUUGCUCAAAGAGGGGUCAAUGUCCUAUCAGCUUGUUGGUGGGGUAACGGCCUACCAAGGCGAAGACGGGUAGCCGGCCUGAGAGGGUGGUCGGCCACACUGGGACUGAGACACUGCCCAGACUCCUACGGGAGGCUGCAGUCGAGAAUCUUUCGCAAUGCCCGAGAGG